Molecule: ribosomal RNA, 711 nt
Filed under: Variovorax sp. ahN10
Lineage: Bacteria; Pseudomonadati; Pseudomonadota; Betaproteobacteria; Burkholderiales; Comamonadaceae
Description: bacterial SSU rRNA
Rfam family: Bacterial small subunit ribosomal RNA
Source: RNAcentral
GGCAGCGCGGGAGCAAUCCUGGCGGCGAGUGGCGAACGGGUGAGAAAUACAUCGGAACGUGCCCAAUCGUGGGGGAUAACGCAGCGAAAGCUGUGCUAAUACCGCAUACGAUCUACGGAUGAAAGCAGGGGAUCGCAAGACCUUGCGCGAAUGGAGCGGCCGAUGGCAGAUUAGGUAGUUGGUGAGGUAAAGGCUCACCAAGCCUUCGAUCUGUAGCUGGUCUGAGAGGACGACCAGCCACACUGGGACUGAGACACGGCCCAGACUCCUACGGGAGGCAGCAGUGGGGAAUUUUGGACAAUGGGCGCAAGCCUGAUCCAGCCAUGCCGCGUGCAGGAUGAAGGCCUUCGGGUUGUAAACUGCUUUUGUACGGAACGAAACGGCCUUUUCUAAUAAAGAGGGCUAAUGACGGUACCGUAAGAAUAAGCACCGGCUAACUACGUGCCAGCAGCCGCGGUAAUACGUAGGGUGCAAGCGUUAAUCGGAAUUACUGGGCGUAAAGCGUGCGCAGGCGGUGAUGUAAGACAGUUGUGAAAUCCCCGGGCUCAACCUGGGAACUGCAUCUGUGACUGCAUCGCUGGAGUACGGCAGAGGGGGAUGGAAUUCCGCGUGUAGCAGUGAAAUGCGUAGAUAUGCGGAGGAACACCGAUGGCGAAGGCAAUCCCCCUGGGCCCUGUACUGACGCUCAUGCACGAAAGCGUGGGGAGCAAA